This 257-nucleotide unclassified non-coding RNA is filed under the name Hevea brasiliensis (rubber tree). Lineage: Eukaryota; Viridiplantae; Streptophyta; Magnoliopsida; Malpighiales; Euphorbiaceae. The record is from RNAcentral.
GUACAACCUAAUCUGGAUGCAAUUUGACAUAAUUUUGGAGCCUUUUGAAUAGACUUCCAAAACCUAACUUGCCCUCGAUUGUCCUUGCUUGAACUUGAUGUUGCCACACUAAUGUUUGACACUAAAUUUUAUGAUGACAAAUUGAACCUUUCCUCAAUUUUAUUCUUUCCAUUCAAAGAUUGAACUACCCUGUUAACAUGGGAACCCUCUUGUUUCCUUGAUUACUUCUCUCACUUGAGUUAAGAUCUCCAGGUGUA